Molecule: ribosomal RNA, 468 nt
Filed under: uncultured bacterium
Lineage: Bacteria
Description: partial 16S ribosomal RNA
Rfam family: Bacterial small subunit ribosomal RNA
Source: RNAcentral
GACGAACGCUGGCGGCGUGCUUAACGCAUGCAAGUCGAACGGAAAGGCCCUGCUUUUGUGGGGUGCUCGAGUGGCGAACGGGUGAGUAACACGUGAGUAACCUGCCCUUGACUUUGGGAUAACUUCAGGAAACUGGGGCUAAUACCGGAUAGGAGCUCCUGCUGCAUGGUGGGGGUUGGAAAGUUUUGGCGGUUGGGGAUGGACUCGCGGCUUAUCAGCUUGUUGGUGGGGUAGUGGCUUACCAAGGCUUUGACGGGUAGCCGGCCUGAGAGGGUGACCGGCCACAUUGGGACUGAGAUACGGCCCAGACUCCUACGGGAGGCAGCAGUGGGGAAUAUUGCACAAUGGGCGGAAGCCUGAUGCAGCAACGCCGCGUGCGGGAUGACGGCCUUCGGGUUGUAAACCGCUUUCGCCUGUGACGAAGCGUGAGUGACGGUAAUGGGUAAAGAAGCACCGGCUAACUACGUG